AUGGCGAUCAGGGAGGCGUUGGCCCUUGCGGAUGAUCUGAAUGUUUCAACUAUACAAAUGGCGUCCGACUCGAAGGUGGUGGUCGAGGACAUCCGAGACAACGAUCCUACAGCAUAUGGAGCUCGAAUAUCGAAGCUCACAAGCUCGCGAAGCAUGCUUUAUCCCUUUCGGCUGGUCGACAUGUUUGGUUGGGUCAGCCGGACGGACUCUCUUUCGUUCAUAUAA
RNAcentral lists this ribosomal RNA (225 nucleotides) under Triticum aestivum (bread wheat). RNAcentral describes it as "partial small subunit ribosomal RNA". The record is from RNAcentral. Lineage: Eukaryota; Viridiplantae; Streptophyta; Magnoliopsida; Poales; Poaceae.